UACGUAGGGGGCGAGCGUUAUCCGGGUUCAUUGGGCGUAAAGCGCGCGUAGGCGGCCGCCUAAGCGGAACCUCUAACCCCGGGGCUCAACCUCGGGCCGGGUUCCGGACUGGGCGGCUCGAGUGCGGUAGAGGAGAGCGGAAUUCCCGGUGUAGCGGUGGAAUGCGCAGAUAUCGGGAAGAACACCGAUGGCGAAGGCAGCUCUCUGGGCCGUCACUGACGCUGAGGCGCGAAAGCUGGGGGAGCGAACAGG
This 252-nucleotide ribosomal RNA is filed under the name uncultured bacterium. Its description in RNAcentral is "partial 16S ribosomal RNA". It matches the Rfam family "Bacterial small subunit ribosomal RNA", at positions 524 to 776 of the family's 1533-position model. The record is from RNAcentral.